CCUACGGGAGGCAGCAGUGGGGGAUAUUGCACAAUGGGGGAAACCCUGAUGCAGCGACGCCGCGUGGGUGAAGAAGCGCCUCGGCGCGUAAAGCCCUGUCAGCAGGGAAGAAAAUGACGGUACCUGAAGAAGAAGCCCCGGCUAACUACGUGCCAGCAGCCGCGGUAAUACGGAGGGGGCAAGCGUUAUCCGGAUUUCCUGGGGGUAAAGGGGGAGCAGACGGCGAGGCAAGCCAGGAGUGAAAGCCCGGGGCCCAACCCCGGGACGGCCCUUUGAACUGCGUGGCUAGAGUGCAGGAGGGGCAGGCGGAAUUCCUGGUGGAGCGGUGAAAUGCGUAGAUAUCAGGAGGAACCCCGGUGGCGAAGGUGGCCUGCUGGACUGCAACUGACGUUGAGGCCCGAAAGCGUGGGGAGCAAACAGGAUUAGAUACCCCGGUAGUC
RNAcentral lists this ribosomal RNA (440 nucleotides) under uncultured bacterium. RNAcentral's name for it is "partial 16S ribosomal RNA". It matches the Rfam family "Bacterial small subunit ribosomal RNA", at positions 338 to 795 of the family's 1533-position model. The record is from RNAcentral.